Long non-coding RNA from Xiphophorus hellerii (green swordtail), 662 nucleotides. RefSeq lists it as uncharacterized. The transcript has 2 exons. NCBI's taxonomy places the organism in Eukaryota, Metazoa, Chordata, Actinopteri, Cyprinodontiformes, Poeciliidae. The record is from RefSeq and is a predicted model, not a curated record.
AGUGUAGCAUGUAAUGUAAUUAUGUAGCAGAAUUAAUUUUAUUUAUUUAUUUUAUUUUUCUUUAUGAACCUUCUCAAAACUAAUUUUCUUUGAAUUGACAUGUCUGUAAUAUAUUAUUUCUGUUUUAUCUUGCUUUCAUUUUUGGUCCCUAGUGUGUAAAAGGCCAUCCUCAUCUAUGAAUAUUGGUUUUCCUUUGUUUUUUUAAUUGUAUUUUGUUUUGGUGGGGAAGCUUUUAUUUUCUUACUUCCUGUUUGCGCGCUACAUCCUGCGUGUUCCCGCUGCCCUCCUCAGUUCGCGCCAAGCUGCGCUGGGGAGAGGGUGUUUGUGGAGAAUCCGGAGCCCAGGAGCUGCUGUGAUUAAAAUGUUCUUGUUUUGAACAGGUAUGUGGGUUGUUUCAGAUUUUAUUCGGAUGUUAAAUUAAUGUAUUUAGCACAUUUCUAUGUUAUGGUGGAAAAUUGUAAUUGUAGGGCAGAUUAUUUCUGUUUAGGUUUUAUUUUAAUUGCUUUGUAUGUCAGGGAAUUUUAGUUUUGUUUAAUGCAUUUCUGUCAGUUCGCGCCAAGCUGCGCUGGGGAGAGGGUGUUUGUGGAGAAUCCGGAGCCCAGGAGCUGCUGUGAUUAAAAUGUUCUUGUUUUGAACAGGAAUAAAAUUAUCCUGAAUCCUGA